AUUAGGGACUGCUGUUAUAAAACACACGUGGAAACUUUUUUUUUUUUUGUGCCAAAGAAAAGUUUAUUGUGACAUUAGUUCACUUUUGUCAGUUUAAAGCCCAAUCAAAACUGCCAAAUUAAGACCAACACCGACAUAUCUUUGUCGCCCAGAGCAGUUGUUAAAUUACGAUGCAUCCCAUUGUGUUUAGCACACUUCUCGGCACCACAGCGUUAAAUACAUAUGCCCCAUCAUCCAAGUUAAGGAUCGGGCUGCCCAGGCUCUCCCUCGAAGUCGGGAUCGAACACCGGAUCGAUCAUGGGAUCGACCACGGGAUCGAUCAGGGGACCAUCGCCAAAAUCAUCACUGGAACCUUCCUCGAACUCUUCCUCGGGAUCGUGCCUACCUUGACCCAUGGAAAGGGAGGGCAUGGCCACCAGUGCCAGCAGCAGGAAGAUGACGUGGAAUCUCAUGGUUUCUUCUCAAGGCAGGA
Molecule: long non-coding RNA, 472 nt
Organism: Hippocampus comes (tiger tail seahorse)
Lineage: Eukaryota; Metazoa; Chordata; Actinopteri; Syngnathiformes; Syngnathidae
Exons: 2
Source: RefSeq, a predicted model, not a curated record